GGCCCAAUGGUCUAGAGGUAAGAUACUUGCUUUGGGUGUUAGGAGUCAAUCCUAGGCGCACAUGCAAGGGAUCCUGGGUUCAAUUCCCAGUUGGGCCC
Non-coding RNA from Cristinia sonorae, 98 nucleotides. Lineage: Eukaryota; Fungi; Basidiomycota; Agaricomycetes; Agaricales; Stephanosporaceae. The record is from the annotation of a GenBank genome assembly.